RNAcentral lists this ribosomal RNA (253 nucleotides) under uncultured bacterium. Its description in RNAcentral is "partial 16S ribosomal RNA". It matches the Rfam family "Bacterial small subunit ribosomal RNA", at positions 524 to 776 of the family's 1533-position model. The record is from RNAcentral.
GACAGAGGGGGCAAGCGUUGCUCGGAAUCACUGGGCGUAAAGGGCGCGUAGGCGGGAUGGCAAGUCGGUCGUGAAAUCCUUCGGCUCAACCGAAGAACGUCGGCCGAUACUGCCGUUCUUGAGGGAUGCAGAGGAGAUUGGAAUUCCCGGUGUAGCAGUGAAAUGCGUAGAGAUCGGGAGGAACAUCAGUUGCGAAGGCGGCUCUCUGGACCAGCACUGACACUGAGGCACGAAAGCGUGGGGAGCAAACAGG